Non-coding RNA from Desmophyllum pertusum, 76 nucleotides. Lineage: Eukaryota; Metazoa; Cnidaria; Anthozoa; Scleractinia; Caryophylliidae. The record is from the annotation of a GenBank genome assembly.
UACUCUGUAGCUCAGUGGUUAGCGCAUCCGACCGGUAUACAGAAAGUCAUGGGUUCAAAUCCCAUCGGGGACUCAG